AGAUUAAGUUAUUAAGGGCGAACGGUGGAUGCCUUGGCACUAGAAGCCGAUGAAGGACGUUACUAACGACGAUAUGCUUUGGGGAGCUGUAAGUAAGCUUUGAUCCAGAGAUUUCCGAAUGGGGAAACCCAGCAUGAGUUAUGUCAUG
RNAcentral lists this ribosomal RNA (148 nucleotides) under Staphylococcus aureus. RNAcentral's name for it is "partial 23S ribosomal RNA". It matches the Rfam family "Bacterial large subunit ribosomal RNA", at positions 1 to 147 of the family's 2925-position model. Lineage: Bacteria; Bacillati; Bacillota; Bacilli; Caryophanales; Staphylococcaceae. The record is from RNAcentral.